ACCGGCGCACGGGUGCGUAACGCGUAUGCAACCUACCUUGUACAGGGGGAUAGCCCGGAGAAAUUCGGAUUAAUACCCCGUGGUAUUAUGAUACGGCAUCGUAUAAUGAUUAAAGAUUUAUCGGUACAAGAUGGGCAUGCGUGACAUUAGCUAGUUGGUACGGUAAUGGCGUACCAAGGCGAUGAUGUCUAGGGGUUCUGAGAGGAUGAUCCCCCACACUGGUACUGAGAUACGGACCAGACUCCUACGGGAGGCAGCAGUAGGGAAUAUUGGUCAAUGGGCGGAAGCCUGAACCAGCCAUGCCGCGUGCAGGAAGACGGCCUUCUGGGUUGUAAACUGCUUUUACCAGGGAACAAAUAGGCCAUGCGUGGCAAGUUGAGUGUACCUGGGGAAUAAGCACCGGCUAACUCCGUGCCAGCAGCCGCGGUAAUACGGAGGGUGCAAGCGU
Molecule: ribosomal RNA, 448 nt
Filed under: uncultured bacterium
Lineage: Bacteria
Description: bacterial SSU rRNA
Rfam family: Bacterial small subunit ribosomal RNA
Source: RNAcentral